This 431-nucleotide ribosomal RNA is filed under the name Pipa aspera group sp. ABGD cluster 9. RNAcentral's name for it is "partial large subunit ribosomal RNA". It matches the Rfam family "Archaeal large subunit ribosomal RNA", at positions 1914 to 2466 of the family's 2987-position model. Lineage: Eukaryota; Metazoa; Chordata; Amphibia; Anura; Pipidae. The record is from RNAcentral.
CUUGCCAAAAACACAAAUAUAAGAGGCCCAGCCUGCCCAGUGACACAUGUUCAACGGCCGCGGUAUUCUGACCGUGCAAAGGUAGCGUAAUCACUUGUCUUUUAAAUAAAGACUGGUAUGAAAGGCACCACGAAGGUUCAACUGUCUCCCCCAUCCAGUCAGUGAAACUGAUCUCCCCGUGCAAAAGCAGGGAUAAACACACAAGACGAGAAGACCCUAUGGAGCUUAAAACACCAGGCAACUGCUUUUAAACCGCAACCAAAAGGUAAAACCAUUAACCAAGCAAACAUGACCAAAUGUUUUCGGUUGGGGCGACCACGGAGAAUAAAAAAUCCUCCGAGAAGAAAAGGACUACGUCCUAAGUCACGAACAACAACUCCAAGCAUCAGAACCUCUGACCACCUUUGACCCAGUCUAACUGAUCAACGAAC